UACGGGGGGAGCAAGCGUUGUUCGGAUUUACUGGGCGUAAAGGGCGCGUAGGCGGUCACUACAAGUCAGUUGUGAAAUCUCUGGGCUUAACUCAGAACGGUCAACUGAUACUGUCGGACUGGAGUGCAGAAGGGGCAACUGGAAUUCUCGGUGUAGCGGUGAAAUGCGUAGAUAUCGAGAGGAACACCAGUGGCGAAGGCGGCGACCUGGACGGACACUGACGCUGAGACGCGAAAGCGUGGGGAGCAAACAGG
RNAcentral lists this ribosomal RNA (254 nucleotides) under uncultured prokaryote. RNAcentral's name for it is "partial 16S ribosomal RNA". It matches the Rfam family "Bacterial small subunit ribosomal RNA", at positions 524 to 776 of the family's 1533-position model. The record is from RNAcentral.